UGAUUCAGAGUAAACAAACCUUGGCGGACGGGCGUUUCAGUAAGAACAGAAAAACUAAUCAAGAGAUCAGGAUGAACGGAAUACGCGAUCUGGUGAGGUGGUGUAUAAACACAGUAUAUAUGGCAUGUUCACGUGUAGCCAAUUACGUCAGGCGAAAUGAUUUUCCUCAGUCAGGUCACGACAUGAUUGAGGGUGGAGACAACGUCACUCCGAGGGCAGACAGAGGACAGAAUCAGCGACAUCCUAGACGCACUAACCAAACAAAACGCACAAGGCGCGUGGACUAAUGCUGUCGAUAUGAAUCAUCAGUUCCAAUUAAACGAGUUCUAGGAAUUACAACGAUGCCUGCAGACACAAAGCAGUCACCGUCUGCCACCUUUCACGUUCCACGACGCACAUUCCGACCCCAAAGUCCCGGUAGAGCGGAAGGCGACCUUGAUUCGUUUUCGGAUGAUCGCAGAUUCGAAACCCGGACCAGAGAUCGAUGUAAUUGUUCUUACUCAGACGCAAAUUCUGAGAUAAAUGAUAUAAAUAUUUAAAACACACAAAAA
Zootermopsis nevadensis is the source of this 551-nucleotide long non-coding RNA. RefSeq lists it as uncharacterized. NCBI's taxonomy places the organism in Eukaryota, Metazoa, Arthropoda, Insecta, Blattodea, Termopsidae. The record is from RefSeq and is a predicted model, not a curated record.